Molecule: ribosomal RNA, 465 nt
Filed under: uncultured Klebsiella sp.
Lineage: Bacteria; Pseudomonadati; Pseudomonadota; Gammaproteobacteria; Enterobacterales; Enterobacteriaceae
Description: bacterial SSU rRNA
Rfam family: Bacterial small subunit ribosomal RNA
Source: RNAcentral
CCUACGGGAGGCUGCAGCGGGGAAUAUUGCACAAUGGGCGCAAGCCUGAUGCAGCCAUGCCGCGUGUGUGAAGAAGGCCUUCGGGUUGUAAAGCACUUUCAGCGGGGAGGAAGGCGGUGAGGUUAAUAACCUCAUCGAUUGACGUUACCCGCAGAAGAAGCACCGGCUAACUCCGUGCCAGCAGCCGCGGUAAUACGGAGGGUGCAAGCGUUAAUCGGAAUUACUGGGCGUAAAGCGCACGCAGGCGGUCUGUCAAGUCGGAUGUGAAAUCCCCGGGCUCAACCUGGGAACUGCAUUCGAAACUGGCAGGCUAGAGUCUUGUAGAGGGGGGUAGAAUUCCAGGUGUAGCGGUGAAAUGCGUAGAGAUCUGGAGGAAUACCGGUGGCGAAGGCGGCCCCCUGGACAAAGACUGACGCUCAGGUGCGAAAGCGAGGGGAGCAAACAGGAUUGGAUACCCCAGUAGUC